This is a non-coding RNA of Podarcis lilfordi (Lilford's wall lizard), 70 nucleotides long. NCBI's taxonomy places the organism in Eukaryota, Metazoa, Chordata, Lepidosauria, Squamata, Lacertidae. The record is from the annotation of a GenBank genome assembly.
GGACGGGUAGCUUAGGCGGUAGAGCACGAGACUCUUAAUCUUGGGGUCCCAGGUUCGAGUCCCACAUUCG